CAGUCGCCGCGGGAAUACAGAGGGUGCAAGCGUUAAUCGGAUUUACUGGGCGUAAAGGGCGCGUAGGUGGUUAUGUAAGUGAGAUGUGAAAUCCCCGGGCUCAACCUGGGAACUGCAUCUUAUACUGCGUAGCUGGAGUGCAGUAGAGGGUAGUGGAAUUUCCGGUGUAGCGGUGAAAUGCGUAGAUAUCGGAAGGAACACCAGUGGCGAAGGCGGCUACCUGGACUGACACUGACACUGAGGCGCGAAAGCGUGGGGAGCAAACAGGAUUAGAUACCCCGGUAGUCCCUGUCUCUUAUAC
RNAcentral lists this ribosomal RNA (301 nucleotides) under uncultured bacterium. RNAcentral describes it as "partial 16S ribosomal RNA". It matches the Rfam family "Bacterial small subunit ribosomal RNA", at positions 509 to 807 of the family's 1533-position model. The record is from RNAcentral.